This 505-nucleotide ribosomal RNA is filed under the name Anagonalia melichari. Its description in RNAcentral is "partial 16S ribosomal RNA". The stretch from base 382 to 505 matches the Rfam family "Bacterial large subunit ribosomal RNA", at positions 2473 to 2597 of the family's 2925-position model. Lineage: Eukaryota; Metazoa; Arthropoda; Insecta; Hemiptera; Cicadellidae. The record is from RNAcentral.
UUCUUUUAGAAUUAAAAUUAAAGGUAAAUUCUGCCCUAUGAUUAUUUAAAUGGCUGCAGUAUUUUAACUGUGCAAAGGUAGCAUAAUAAUUAGUCAUUUAAUUGUUGACUUGUAUGAAUGGAUACAUGAAAGAUUUAUUUUUUUAAUUUAAAUUUAAAAAUUUUAUUUUUUGGUAAAAAAGCUUAAUUUUUUUUUAGGGACGAUAAGACCCUAUAGAACUUUAUUAUAAUUAUUUUUAUUUUUUAUUUAGUUUAUAACUAUUAUUAAGUUUAAUUAUUUUUUUAUUGGGGUGAUAAAUAAAUUUAACUUUAUUUUAUUAUUUCAUUAAUAUAUGAUAUUUAUUGAUCCAUUAUUUAGAUUAAAAGAUAUAGUUACCUUAGGGAUAACAGCGUAAUUUUAAUGGAAAGUUCAUAUUUAUAUUAAAGUUUGCGACCUCGAUGUUGAAUUAAGAUAAGUAUAGGGGGUAGAAUUUUUAUAACUAAGUCUGUUCGACUUUUAAAUUCUU